Molecule: ribosomal RNA, 911 nt
Filed under: Plenodomus changchunensis
Lineage: Eukaryota; Fungi; Ascomycota; Dothideomycetes; Pleosporales; Leptosphaeriaceae
Description: partial large subunit ribosomal RNA
Rfam family: Eukaryotic large subunit ribosomal RNA
Source: RNAcentral
UUAGCAGAAAACCACAGGGAUUGCCCUAGUAACGGCGAGUGAAGCGGCAACAGCUCAAAUUUGAAAUCUGGCUCUUUCAGAGUCCGAGUUGUAAUUUGCAGAGGGCGCUUUGGCGUUGGCAGCGGUCCAAGUUCCUUGGAACAGGACGUCACAGAGGGUGAGAAUCCCGUACGUGGUCGCUGGCCUUCGCCGUGUAAAGCCCCUUCGACGAGUCGAGUUGUUUGGGAAUGCAGCUCUAAAUGGGAGGUAAAUUUCUUCUAAAGCUAAAUACUGGCCAGAGACCGAUAGCGCACAAGUAGAGUGAUCGAAAGAUGAAAAGCACUUUGGAAAGAGAGUCAAAUAGCACGUGAAAUUGUUGAAAGGGAAGCGCUUGCAGCCAGACUUGCCUGUAGUUGCUCAUCCGGGCUUUUGCCCGGUGCACUCUUCUAUAGGCAGGCCAGCAUCAGUUUGGGCGGUUGGAUAAAGGUCUCUGUCAUGUACCUCUCUUCGGGGAGGCCUUAUAGGGGAGACGACAUGCAACCAGCCUGGACUGAGGUCCGCGCAUUUGCUAGGAUGCUGGCGUAAUGGCUGUAAGCGGCCCGUCUUGAAACACGGACCAAGGAGUCUAACAUCUAUGCGAGUGUUUGGGUGUCAAGCCCGAACGCGUAAUGAAAGUGAACGGAGGUGGGAACCCUUACGGGCGCACCAUCGACCGAUCCUGAUGUCUUCGGAAGGAUUUGAGUAAGAGCAUGGCUGUUGGGACCCGAAAGAUGGUGAACUAUGCUUGAAUAGGGUGAAGCCAGAGGAAACUCUGGUGGAGGCUCGCAGCGGUUCUGACGUGCAAAUCGAUCGUCAAAUUUGGGCAUAGGGGCGAAAGACUAAUCGAACUAUCUAGUAGCUGGUUCCUGCCGAAGUUUCCCUCAGGAAACAAA